This 163-nucleotide ribosomal RNA is filed under the name Coelogyne stricta. RNAcentral describes it as "5.8S ribosomal RNA". It matches the Rfam family "5.8S ribosomal RNA". Rfam says of the family: 5.8S ribosomal RNA (5.8S rRNA) is a component of the large subunit of the eukaryotic ribosome. The record is from RNAcentral. Lineage: Eukaryota; Viridiplantae; Streptophyta; Magnoliopsida; Asparagales; Orchidaceae.
AAAACGACUCUUCGCAAUGGAUAUCUCGGCUCUCGCAUCGAUGAAGAGCGCAGCGAAAUGCGAUACGUGGUGCGAAUUGCAGAAUCCCGCGAACCAUCGAGUCUUUGAACGCAAGUUGCGCCGAGGCCAACCGGCCAAGGGCACGUUUGCUUGGGCGUCAAGC